CCUUCGAUAGCUCAGUUGGAAGAGCGCGAGACUGUAAUCGGAUACAAAUCGGAUAUACUUCGACAUCUUGAGGUCGCUGGUUCGAUCCCGGCUCGAAGGA
Transfer RNA from Phlebiopsis gigantea 11061_1 CR5-6, 100 nucleotides. It matches the Rfam family "tRNA". From Rfam's summary of the family: Transfer RNA (tRNA) molecules are approximately 80 nucleotides in length. Their secondary structure includes four short double-helical elements and three loops (D, anti-codon, and T loops). Lineage: Eukaryota; Fungi; Basidiomycota; Agaricomycetes; Polyporales; Phanerochaetaceae. The record is from Rfam.